Molecule: ribosomal RNA, 250 nt
Filed under: uncultured Gammaproteobacteria bacterium
Lineage: Bacteria; Pseudomonadati; Pseudomonadota; Gammaproteobacteria
Description: partial 16S ribosomal RNA
Rfam family: Bacterial small subunit ribosomal RNA
Source: RNAcentral
GGGCGUCGAGUGGCGGACGGGUGAGUAAUGCAUGGGAAUCUGCCUUUUGCUGGGGGAUAACGUAGGGAAACUUACGCUAAUACCGCAUAAGACCUGAGGGUGAAAGUGGGGGACCGUAAGGCCUCACGGCAGAAGAUGAGCCCAUGUCGGAUUAGCUAGUUGGUGGGGUAAAGGCCUACCAAGGCGACGAUCCGUAGCUGGUCUGAGAGGAUGAUCAGCCACACUGGGACUGAGACACGGCCCAGACUCC